Molecule: ribosomal RNA, 440 nt
Filed under: uncultured bacterium
Lineage: Bacteria
Description: partial 16S ribosomal RNA
Rfam family: Bacterial small subunit ribosomal RNA
Source: RNAcentral
CCUACGGGAGGCAGCAGUGGGGAAUAUUGCACAAUGGGGGAAACCCUGAUGCAGCGACGCCGCGUGAAGGAAGAAGUAUCUCGGUAUGUAAACUUCUAUCAGCAGGGAAGAAAAUGACGGUACCUGACUAAGAAGCCCCGGCUAACUACGUGCCAGCAGCCGCGGUAAUACGUAGGGGGCAAGCGUUAUCCGGAUUUACUGGGUGUAAAGGGAGCGUAGACGGAAGAGCAAGUCUGAUGUGAAAGGCUGGGGCUUAACCCCAGGACUGCAUUGGAAACUGUUUUUCUAGAGUGCCGGAGAGGUAAGCGGAAUUCCUAGUGUAGCGGUGAAAUGCGUAGAUAUUAGGAGGAACACCAGUGGCGAAGGCGGCUUACUGGACGGUAACUGACGUUGAGGCUCGAAAGCGUGGGGAGCAAACAGGAUUAGAUACCCCAGUAGUC